CUGAUGCUGCCAACAUUAUCACAAAUGUGGAAGCCAAGUGGCCAGGCUCUGUUGAUGACUCACGAAUUUUUCGUGAAUGUACACUGAGCACAAAAUUUGGACAUAGAGAGUUCACUGGCUACUUGCUUGGUGAUAGGGGGUAUCCAUGUUUACCCUAUUUGCUUACCCCUUACCCUGACCCUGAACUGGGCCCACAGCAGCGAUAUAAUCUGGCUCAUUGCAGGACAAGAGCCAGAGCUGAAAUGACUAUCGGAAUGCUUAAGGCCCGGUUCCAGUGCCUUCAAAGACUCAGGGUCACCCCAGAAAGGGCAUGUGACAUUAUUGUGGCAUGUGUGAUUCUUCACAACAUUGCCACAGUUAGAGGAGAACACUGUCCUUCUGAACCAAACAUCAGCAGUGAUCCAAACCAUGAACAUCCUGACCCUCCCACGGACAUACAAGAUGGAAGAGCAGUCAGAGACACCAUAUGUCACAAUCAUUUCCUUUGACCCAUCACCUCAACAUGUUGAAAGAAGAAUAAACAGAUUUUUUUGUUCAACUGGCUUUAUUGGUCGCCUGUAUUUCCUGUACACAAAGUAUUAAUAAGUUUAUUAUUAUGUUGUUCAAACACUGAAAUAAUUCGUCCAUCUCUGACCACUUCACCCACCCUUAACUGAUGUUCUAGCAGUAAAAUCUCAAUCUUGGUCUUUUGGAUCUGCUGCUUGAAGUGUUCCAUUUCCAAGUCGCAUUUUUUUAUUUUCUUGAUCAAAUAGGUCUUGUACAGCUGCUUUACAGGGAGCUAUUGAAACACAGAAAAUAGCAUUGACAUUCAUAGUACAUGCCUACUUAGGUUGGUUGUAAAUCAGUGCUGAACAUCUUACUGUGGAAAGGUUUGUUGGAGAAGUGGCUGGACCCUCUUCCUCUGCAUUUCCAUCAUCACUCUGUUAGAGACAUAGAAAGUCCAUGGUUUUAUUAUAGUACCACAUUUUAUUCAAUUGUUAUAUUUUCCAUUGUAAGAUGUAAACCUCAUAAAGUGUCUCUGUUGCUUCCUCCUCUGUAA
This is a long non-coding RNA of Oreochromis niloticus (Nile tilapia), 1039 nucleotides long. RefSeq lists it as uncharacterized. Lineage: Eukaryota; Metazoa; Chordata; Actinopteri; Cichliformes; Cichlidae. The transcript is spliced from 2 exons. The record is from RefSeq and is a predicted model, not a curated record.